RNAcentral lists this ribosomal RNA (410 nucleotides) under Burkholderia sp. RG45. RNAcentral's name for it is "bacterial SSU rRNA". It matches the Rfam family "Bacterial small subunit ribosomal RNA", at positions 958 to 1373 of the family's 1533-position model. The record is from RNAcentral. Lineage: Bacteria; Pseudomonadati; Pseudomonadota; Betaproteobacteria; Burkholderiales; Burkholderiaceae.
AACGCGAAGAACCUUACCUACCCUUGACAUGGUCGGAAUCCUGGAGAGAUCUGGGAGUGCUCGAAAGAGAACCGAUACACAGGUGCUGCAUGGCUGUCGUCAGCUCGUGUCGUGAGAUGUUGGGUUAAGUCCCGCAACGAGCGCAACCCUUGUCCUUAGUUGCUACGCAAGAGCACUCUAGGGAGACUGCCGGUGACAAACCGGAGGAAGGUGGGGAUGACGUCAAGUCCUCAUGGCCCUUAUGGGUAGGGCUUCACACGUCAUACAAUGGUCGGAACAGAGGGUCGCCAACCCGCGAGGGGGAGCUAAUCCCAGAAAACCGAUCGUAGUCCGGAUUGCACUCUGCAACUCGAGUGCAUGAAGCUGGAAUCGCUAGUAAUCGCGGAUCAGCAUGCCGCGGGAAUACGAUC